GUGGGGAAUAUUGCACAAUGGGCGCAAGCCUGAUGCAGCCAUGCCGCGUGUAUGAAGAAGGCCUUCGGGUUGUAAAGUACUUUCAGCGGGGAGGAAGGUGUUGUGGUUAAUAACCGCAGCAAUUGACGUUACCCGCAGAAGAAGCACCGGCUAACUCCGUGCCAGCAGCCGCGGUAAUACGGAGGGUGCAAGCGUUAAUCGGAAUUACUGGGCGUAAAGCGCACGCAGGCGGUCUGUCAAGUCGGAUGUGAAAUCCCCGGGCUCAACCUGGGAACUGCAUUCGAAACUGGCAGGCUUGAGUCUUGUAGAGGGGGGUAGAAUUCCAGGUGUAGCGGUGAAAUGCGUAGAGAUCUGGAGGAAUACCGGUGGCGAAGGCGGCCCCCUGGACAAAGACUGACGCUCAGGUGCGAAAGCGUGGGGAGCAA
RNAcentral lists this ribosomal RNA (425 nucleotides) under uncultured Salmonella sp. RNAcentral describes it as "bacterial SSU rRNA". It matches the Rfam family "Bacterial small subunit ribosomal RNA", at positions 354 to 771 of the family's 1533-position model. Lineage: Bacteria; Pseudomonadati; Pseudomonadota; Gammaproteobacteria; Enterobacterales; Enterobacteriaceae. The record is from RNAcentral.